CAUGCAGUCGAACGCGAUUCCCGAUUUCGGUCGGGAUGAAAGUGGCGCAGGGUGCGUAACGCGUAUGCGACCUACCUUUAUCAGGGGGAUAGCCCGGAGAAAUCCGGAUUAACACCGCAUAAAAUCACAGGAUAGCAUUAUUCAAUGAUCAAAUAUUUAUAGGAUAAAGAUGGGCAUGCGUGUCAUUAGCUAGUUGGCGGGGUAACGGCCCACCAAGGCGACGAUGACUAGGGGAUCUGAGAGGAUGGCCCCCCACACUGGUACUGAGACACGGACCAGACUCCUACGGGAGGCAGCAGUAAGGAAUAUUGGUCAAUGGAGGGAACUCUGAACCAGCCAUGCCGCGUGCAGGAAGACUGCCCUAUGGGUUGUAAACUGCUUUUAUCCGGGAAUAAACCUGAGUACGUGUACUUAGCUGAAUGUACCGGAAGAAUAAGGAUCGGCUAACUCCGUGCCAGCAGCCGCGGUAAUACGGAGGAUCCAAGCGUUAUCCGGAUUUAUUGGGUUUAAAGGGUGCGUAGGCGGCCUGUUAAGUCAGGGGUGAAAGACGGUAGCUCAACUAUCGCAGUGCCCUUGAUACUGAUGGGCUUGAAUGGACUAGAGGUAGGCGGAAUGAGACAAGUAGCGGUGAAAUGCAUAGAUAUGUCUCAGAACACCGAUGGCGAAGGCAGCUUACUAUGGUCUUAUUGACGCUGAGGCACGAAAGCGUGGGGAUCAAACAGGAUUAGAUACCCUGGUAGUCCACGCCCUAAACGAUGAACACUCGCUGUUGGCGAUACACAGUCAGCGGCUAAGCGAAAGCGUUAAGUGUUCCACCUGGGGAGUACGCCCGCAAGGGUGAAACUCAAAGGAAUUGACGGGGGCCCGCACAAGCGGAGGAGCAUGUGGUUUAAUUCGAUGAUACGCGAGGAACCUUACCCGGGCUUGAAGUUAGUGACGAUGCUAGAGAUAGUAUCUGAGCAUCACACGAAACUAGUGCUGCAUGGCUGUCGUCAGCUCGUGCCGUGAGUGUGGGUAGUCCCGCACG
RNAcentral lists this ribosomal RNA (1027 nucleotides) under Pedobacter sp. RNAcentral describes it as "bacterial SSU rRNA". It matches the Rfam family "Bacterial small subunit ribosomal RNA", at positions 54 to 1094 of the family's 1533-position model. The record is from RNAcentral. Lineage: Bacteria; Pseudomonadati; Bacteroidota; Sphingobacteriia; Sphingobacteriales; Sphingobacteriaceae.